This 102-nucleotide ribosomal RNA is filed under the name Monotropa uniflora (ghost pipe). Its description in RNAcentral is "4.5S ribosomal RNA". Lineage: Eukaryota; Viridiplantae; Streptophyta; Magnoliopsida; Ericales; Ericaceae. The record is from RNAcentral.
AAAGGUCACGGCAAGACGAGCCGUUUAGCAUUAUGAUAGGUGCCAGGUGGAAAUAAAGUAAUUUAUGUAGCUGAGGCAUACUAACAGACCGUAGACUUGAAC